Molecule: ribosomal RNA, 854 nt
Filed under: Flavopunctelia flaventior
Lineage: Eukaryota; Fungi; Ascomycota; Lecanoromycetes; Lecanorales; Parmeliaceae
Description: SSU rRNA
Rfam family: Bacterial small subunit ribosomal RNA
Source: RNAcentral
GAGGAAUGUAUAGCAAUAGCUACUUGCAUCAUUGUACAGAUGAUGCAAGAUCGACUAUGUUGAAUAAAAUUCUAGGUAGAAUUAUGAUAAUGACAUUGUCUGCCUAUGUGUCUUGACCAAAUUACGUGCCAGCAGUCGCGGUAAUACGUAGAAGACUAGUGUUAUUCAUGUUUAAUCGGUUUAAAGGGUACCUAGACGGUAGAUCAAGCUUUCAGAAAAGACCUUAGAUCAAAAGGAUGAAGAACAAUUAUAGAAAGGACUAAUUUACUAGAGUUACUUACGAGGGGGUAUUAAAGUACUGCUGGUGUAGAGAUGAAAUUCUGUCAUACCUCUUUUCGAAAGAAAAAUCAUGGCACAGGUAUAGGCGAAGGCAUCCCCUUAUGUGAUAACUGACGUUGAGGGACGAAGGCUUCGUGUAACAAACAGGAUUAGAUACCCUAGUAGUUGGAGCAGAAAAUGAUGAAUGUCAUAGAUUAGAUAUAUAAGUUUAUUCUAUAAAUGAAAGUGUAAGCAUUCCACCUCAAGAGUAAUUUGGCAACAUUGGAACUGAAAUCAUUAGACCGUUUCUGAAACCAGUAGUGAAGUAUGUUGUUUAAUUUGAUGACCCGCAAAAAACCUUACCACAAUUUGAAUACUUAUAUUUUUUUUAUUGUUUUCUUCUUAAUUUUCUUCUAAUAACAUGUAUAAAUUACAAGAUAAAAGAAAUUAUUAAUAAAGAGGCAAUAAUAUAUAUUUACAAGCGUUGCACGGCUGUCUUCAGUUAAUGUCGCGAGACUAUGGUUAGUUCCAUUAAAUUAACGUAAACCCUUACUUUAUUUUUAGAUAGAGUAGUUCCCCGCUAUAUUGGAUAUGAU